Molecule: ribosomal RNA, 253 nt
Filed under: uncultured bacterium
Lineage: Bacteria
Description: partial 16S ribosomal RNA
Rfam family: Bacterial small subunit ribosomal RNA
Source: RNAcentral
UACAGAGGGUGCGAGCGUUAAUCGGAAUUACUGGGCGUAAAGGGCGCGUAGGCGGUUGUAUAAGUUAGGUGUGAAAUCCCCGGGCUUAACCUGGGAAUGGCAUUUAAUACUGUAUGACUAGAGUAGAGUAGAGGGAAGUGGAAUUUCCGGUGUAGCGGUGAAAUGCGUAGAUAUCGGAAAGAACAUCGGUGGCGAAGGCGGCUUUCUGGACUUAUACUGACGCUGAGGCGCGAAAGCAUGGGUAGCAAACAGG